GGUUCGAUCAUGGCCUCGAUUGAACGCUGGCGGGAUGUUUACACAUGCAAGUCGAACGGCAGCACGGACUUCGGUCUGGUGACGAGUGGCGAACGGGUGAGUAAUGUAUCGGAACGUGCCUAGUAGCGGGGGAUAACGGCGAAAGCGUAGCUAAUACCGCAUAACACCCUUCGGGGAAAGCGGGGGGACCUUCGGGCCUCGCACUAUUAGAGCGGCCGAUAUCGAUUAGCUAGGUUGGUGGGGUAACGGCUCACCAAGGGGGCGACGAUCCGUAGCUGGUUUGAGAGGACGACCAGCCACACUGGGACUGAGACGGCCCAGACUCUACGUGGAGGCAGCAGUGGGGAAUUUUGGACAAUGGGGGAAACUCCUGAUCCAGCCAUCCGCGUGCGAUGAAGGGCCUUCGGGUUGUAGCGCACUUUUGGCAGGGAAAGAAACGGCACGGAUACCACCCGGUGCAACUGACGGUACCCGGUAAGAAUAAGCACCGGCUAACUACGUGCCAGCAGCCGCGGUAAUGUAGGGUGCAAGCGUUAAUCGGAAUUACCGGGCGUAAAGCGCGGCGGUUCGGUGUAAAGAUGGAAAUUCGGCUACUUUGGUACUGCAUUUUUAACGCACGAGCGGAGUGUCAGAGAGCAGGGAAUUCGUGCAGUGAAAAUGCAUAUGCAAACCGACACGAUGGCGAAGGCGUUCUGGAUAACACUGACGCGCUCAUGCACGAAAGCGUGGGGAGCAAACAGGAUUAGAUAAUUCUGGUAGUCCACGCCCUAAACGAUGUCAACUAGCUGUUGGGGCCUUCGGGCUCUGCAGCUAACGCGUGAAGUUGACCGCCUGGGAGUACGGUCGUAAGAUUAAAACUCAAAGGGAAUUGACGGGACCCACAAGCGGUGGAUGAUGUGGAUUAAUUCGAUGCAACGCGAAAACCUUACCUACCCUUGACAUGUCUGGAAUCCCGAAGAGAUUUGGGAGUGCUCGCAAGAGAACCGAACACAGGUGCUGCAUGGCUGUCGUCAGCUCGUGUCGUGAGAUGUUGGGUUAAGUCCCGCAACGAGCGCAACCUUGUCAUUAGCUGCUACGAAAGGGCACUCUAAUGAGUCGCCGGUGACAAACCGGAGGAAGGUGGGAUGACGUCAAGUCCUCAUGGCUCCUAUGGGUAGGGCUUCACACGUCAUACAAUGGUCGGGACAGAGGGUCGCCAACCCGCGAGGGAGCCAAUCCCAGAAACCCGAUCGUAGUCCGGAUCGCAGUCUGCAACCUCGACUGCGUGAAGUCGGAAUCGCCAGUAAUCGCGGAUCAGCAUGUCGCGGUGAAUACGUUCCCUGGGUCUGUACACCGCCCGUCACACCAUGGGAGUGGGUUUUACCAGAAGUAGUUAGCCCAACUGCAAGGAGGGCGAUUACCACGGUAGGAUUCAUGACUGGGGCGGUCGUAACAAGGUAA
RNAcentral lists this ribosomal RNA (1440 nucleotides) under uncultured Bordetella sp. RNAcentral's name for it is "partial 16S-23S ribosomal RNA intergenic spacer". It matches the Rfam family "Bacterial small subunit ribosomal RNA". Lineage: Bacteria; Pseudomonadati; Pseudomonadota; Betaproteobacteria; Burkholderiales; Alcaligenaceae. The record is from RNAcentral.